This is a long non-coding RNA of Syzygium oleosum, 935 nucleotides long. RefSeq lists it as uncharacterized. The record is from RefSeq and is a predicted model, not a curated record. Lineage: Eukaryota; Viridiplantae; Streptophyta; Magnoliopsida; Myrtales; Myrtaceae. The transcript has 3 exons.
CCUAAAUGAAGAAUGUUUAUCUAUCCAUAAUUGCCGAUCGAAUCUGCAGAUUUACUACUAACUAUGGAUAUCGGACGGCUAUAUGAACAACCGCUGAAAAGAAGACUUACUCGGUCCGAAUGGUAGUGUCUCAGUGCUUUCCUUCUCCUUCUCGUCUCCUCAAUUUGAAAACUACAUGUCGGAAGCAUUCAAAAGGAUGGCCAAAUUCUUCAUCACUGUUUUCCCUUAAGCCUGCAUCUGUAUAAAAGCUACGCUUUCAUCCCCUUUACCGCAACAUUGGCCUCCUCGUCCAUCUUGGCAUCCAUUUCUUUUUCAUCCAUUCUUUUGCCAAUUUCUGAAAGUUAUUUUUCCUUGCAAACAAUCCUUGAUUUUAUCAACAGUGCCCUCCAUUUCUCCUUCCAGAACUUGGGUUACCACUUGACGAAGCUCCAAAGUUGUGGAUGUAGGAUCAAGUUCCCAGCAUCAAAUAGGAGCAUUUGCAACACCUUGACGUUCUUCAAGCCACAAACUUUGGUGAGUGGAGCAACGGUUACACCAUGAUCCUUGUUGCAAUCUUCAACGAAACCUCUGUUCGAUUGUUGUUGAAAUCAUGAAAAGAUGGGUCUGCAACAAGCAUUUGCUUGAAGACAGAGUUCUCCGCUUCAAAUUCAAGGUUAGAAAUGACAUGGAAAGUCUUUUUGAUGAGAACUCUGUCUUUACCGUCCACAGACUUCUUAUGCUUAACUGCAGCAAUCUUUGCACCGUUUGCAGGAGCUUUCUCCUCUUCGCUGUACUUCUGCUUGACCUUCCCUUCCAAAGAAUUUAGUCCAUCUCUGCCUCCUCAUGGCCCCUCUUCCAAUGCCGAACUACAGGCUCAAGCACGCCUGAGGGAGGAGAAUAUGAUGCUGGCGCGGGGGCAGCUUUAUCACUCAGCAAAUUUGGUUAAUGUGCCAUAU